GGCAAGGUGAGGAACAGGAAGCCUUUCUACUUCCGCCUCGACCGCAGGUUGUGGAUUGCUCUUGUCACUCUUGCUGUGGUUAGCAGAAGCGCACUUGCAGCCUGUACACGGGCUCUGAAUGGCCUCCAGGGGAACGUUCCCUCAGCUGGCAGUCCUUGGGCACAUCAUCCUCUCUAUUCAGGCUGUCCAGGUCAUGGAGAGAGGAGCACUGAACCUACCUACAGGGACACAUCGAGAGUGAACAAGCCCAGAAACCCCUAGGGAGAAACACGGCAGUGGACCAGAGAGGUACAUGGUGCAUGCGACAGUGGCUAGCUGGAGUCUGCAGAGACAGCAAGGAGAGGAACCAUAGUGCA
RNAcentral lists this long non-coding RNA (356 nucleotides) under Chinchilla lanigera (long-tailed chinchilla). RNAcentral's name for it is "lncRNA (ENSCLAG00000026500.1)". Lineage: Eukaryota; Metazoa; Chordata; Mammalia; Rodentia; Chinchillidae. The record is from RNAcentral.